GCGAGGUAGAGCAAAUCUCAAAAAAACAAUCUCAGUUCAGACUGCAGGCUGCAACUCGCCUGCACGAAGUCGGAAUUGCUAGUAAUCGUAGGUCAGCAUACUACGGUGAAUACGUUCCCGGGCCUUGUACACACCGCCCGUCAAACCAUGAGAGUUGGCAACACCCGAAGUCGGUAGUCUAACCGCAAGGAGGACGCCGCCGAAGGUGGGGUUGAUGAUUAGGGUGAAGUCGUAACAAGGUAAC
RNAcentral lists this ribosomal RNA (244 nucleotides) under uncultured bacterium. RNAcentral describes it as "partial 16S ribosomal RNA". It matches the Rfam family "Bacterial small subunit ribosomal RNA", at positions 1257 to 1500 of the family's 1533-position model. The record is from RNAcentral.